GCCUCCCGCCCCGAAUCCGUGACGGGUUAAAAAAUACAUCCCAUAAUCCGCCCCGCAACACGCCACCCGCCAGCACCCCGAAUCCGCCCCGCCAACUAAUAUUUUUUAUAAAAUUAUAAUAUUAUUAAUAUUUUGUAAAUAUAAAUUAAUAAUUUUUAAUAAUAUUAUAUAUAUAAUUUAACAAUAUUAAUUAUAAAAAUAAAAAAUAUCAAUCACAAUUCAAAAUAAAAAUUAAAAGUUUCAAAUGCAUUAGAAAUGAGAGUACUAAUUUAUUUGUAUUUUGAACUUUUUUGUAAAUACAUUAUUUUUUAGGAAUAUUUUUUAAAAAUAUAAAUAAUUUUCGGGGGCAGAUUCGGGGCGGAUCGUAGCAGGGCGGAUUCGGGGCGGAUUCGGGGCUGGUCAAAAUUUCUCCCGUUUCCUGCCCCGAAUCCGUCUCGAAUCGUAAAUUUUACCCCGUUUCCCGCCCCGAAUCCGUUUAUUUUUUCCCAUUUACUACCCUCGUCGGGGCGGAUCGGGGCGGGAGCUCCACCAAACCCAGAUCCGUUUAAAUCCCUACACAUGCCUUAUAGUUUAAAUCAUAACAUAUUAAAAUUUUAAUCCAAAAAAAUGGAAGAGAGAGGCAGAAAAAAAUUGAUGAGAGAGAGAAAAAAUUUGAAGAGAGAGGGGAAAAAAAAAAAAAGAAGAGUGAGAGAAACAAAAUUAAAGAGAGAGGGAUUAAAAAAAAUUUGAAGAGAUAGAAAACAAAUUUUAAAAAUUAUUUGAAGAGAGAGGAAUAAAAAAAAUGAAGAGAGAAAAAAAAUAAAAAUAUUUGAAAAUAUUGAGGACUAAAAUAAUAUAUUUCAUAUUGCAAGUCAGAAAUUAUAACUAAUUAAAGUUUGAGGAUGAAAGUGUCACAUGCCUUAUAGUUUAAAUCAUAACAUAUUAAAAUUUGAGGAUUAAAAUGUUACUCGUCUUAUAGUUUGAAGGACGAAAAGUGUAAAUCCAAUCUUUCAAAAUUUUAUUUUGAUUAUUCAAUUUUUCGAUAUAUUAGAUUUGAGUCAAUCAAUGAUAUUUUAAUAUACAAUCUAUAAGUAAAUGCUUAAUAGUAUAAAAUUAAAAUUUAUAUUUAAU
Molecule: long non-coding RNA, 1110 nt
Filed under: Ananas comosus (pineapple)
Lineage: Eukaryota; Viridiplantae; Streptophyta; Magnoliopsida; Poales; Bromeliaceae
Description: long non-coding RNA (ACOM_LNC035924)
Source: RNAcentral